GGCUUUUCCUCGGGCUUGAGUAUGGAAUGGAAGGGGCUUUUCCUUAGGGUCGGGGCUAGACGGGAAGAGGCUUUUUCUCUGGGUUGGGGCCACAAGGAAAGGCGCAUUUCCCCAGGGUUCUGGUUGAUCCUCAGGGUUGGGGCAGGAGGGGAAGGGCCUUUUACUUAGGAUUGAGGCCGGAGGGAAGGGGUUUUCCUCAGGGUUGGGGCCGGAGUGGAAGGCAUUUUUUCCAGGGGGUUGGGGCCCGGAGGAGAAGGGGCUUUUCCUCAGGGUUUGUGGCUGGAGGGGAAGUGGCUUUUCCUCAGGGUUGGGGCCACAGGGGAAGGGACAUUUCCCCAGGGUUCUGGUUGGUCCUCAGGGUUGGGGCAGGAGGGGAAGGGCCUUUUACUUAGGAUUGAGGCCGGAGGGAAGGGGUUUUCCUCA
Molecule: long non-coding RNA, 423 nt
Filed under: Anser brachyrhynchus (Pink-footed goose)
Lineage: Eukaryota; Metazoa; Chordata; Aves; Anseriformes; Anatidae
Description: lncRNA (ENSABRG00000015945.1)
Source: RNAcentral